GACGAACGCUGGCGGCGUGCCUAAUACAUGCAAGUUGAGCGAUGAAGCUUGGUGCUUGCCCCAAUUUGAAGAGCAGCGAACGGGUGAGUAACGCGUGGGGAAUCUGCCUUUGAGCGGGGGACAACAUUUGGAAACGAAUGCUAAUACCGCAUAACAACUUUAAACAUAAGUUUUAAGUUUGAAAGAUGCAAUUGCAUCACUCAAAGAUGAUCCCGCGUUGUAUUAGCUAGUUGGUGAGGUAAAGGCUCACCAAGGCGAUGAUACAUAGCCGACCUGAGAGGGUGAUCGGCCACAUUGGGACUGAGACACGGCCCAAACUCCUACGGGAGGCAGCAGUAGGGAAUCUUCGGCAAUGGACGAAAGUCUGACCGAGCAACGCCGCGGGAGUGAAGAAGGUUUUCGGAUCGUAAAACUCUGUUGGUAGAGAAGAACGUUGGUGAGAGUGGAAAGCUCAUCAAGUGACGGUAACUACCCAGAAAGGGACGGCUAACUACGUG
Molecule: ribosomal RNA, 497 nt
Filed under: uncultured bacterium
Lineage: Bacteria
Description: partial 16S ribosomal RNA
Rfam family: Bacterial small subunit ribosomal RNA
Source: RNAcentral